GCACGGGUGCGUAACGCGUGGGAGUCUGCCCUUUGCUUCGGAAUAACAGUUAGAAAUGACUGCUAAUACCGGAUGAUGUCUUCGGACCAAAGAUUUAUCGGCAAAGGAUGAGCCNNNNUAGGAUUAGGUAGUUGGUGGGGUAAAGGCCUACCAAGCCGACGAUCCUUAGCUGGUCUGAGAGGAUGAUCAGCCACACUGGGACUGAGACACGGCCCAGACUCCUACGGGAGGCAGCAGUGGGGAAUAUUGGACAAUGGGCGAAAGCCUGAUCCAGCAAUGCCGCGUGAGUGAUGAAGGCCUUCGGGUCGUAAAGCUCUUUUACCAGGGAUGAUAAUGACAGUACCUGGAGAAUAAGCUCCGGCUAACUCCGUGCCAGCAGCCGCGGUAAUACGGAGGGAGCUAGCGUUGUUCGGAAUUACUGGGCGUAAAGAGUACGUAGGCGGCUAUUCAAGUCAGAGGUGAAAGCCCGGGGCUCAACCCCGGAACUGCCUUUGAAACUAGAUAGCUAGAAUCUUGGAGAGGUCAGUGGAAUCCCGAGUGUAGGGGUGAAAUUCGUAGAUAUUCGGAAGAACACCAGUGGCGAAGGCGACUGACUGGACAAGUAUUGACGCU
Molecule: ribosomal RNA, 612 nt
Filed under: uncultured bacterium
Lineage: Bacteria
Description: bacterial SSU rRNA
Rfam family: Bacterial small subunit ribosomal RNA
Source: RNAcentral